ACGAACGCUGGCGGCGUGCCUAAUACAUGCAAGUUGAGCGCUGAAGGUUGGUACUUGUACCGACUGGAUGAGCAGCGAACGGGUGAGUAACGCGUGGGGAAUCUGCCUUUGAGCGGGGGACAACAUUUGGAAACGAAUGCUAAUACCGCAUAAAAACUUUAAACACUAGUUUUAAGUUUGAAAGAUGCAAUUGCAUCACUCAAAGAUGAUCCCGCGUUGUAUUAGCUAGUUGGUGAGGUAAAGGCUCACCAAGGCGAUGAUACAUAGCCGACCUGAGAGGGUGAGCGGCCACAUUGGGACGGAGACACGGCCCAAACUCCUACGGGAGGCAGCAGUAGGGAAUCUUCGGCAAUGGACGAAAGUCUGACCGAGCAACGCCGCGGGAGUGAAGAAGGUUGUCGGAUCGUAAAACUCGGUUGGUAGAGAAGAACGUUGGUGAGAGUGGAAAGCUCAUCAAGUGACGGUAACUACACAGAAAGGGACGGCUAACUACGUG
Molecule: ribosomal RNA, 496 nt
Filed under: uncultured bacterium
Lineage: Bacteria
Description: partial 16S ribosomal RNA
Rfam family: Bacterial small subunit ribosomal RNA
Source: RNAcentral